Non-coding RNA from Mycena vitilis, 85 nucleotides. The record is from the annotation of a GenBank genome assembly. Lineage: Eukaryota; Fungi; Basidiomycota; Agaricomycetes; Agaricales; Mycenaceae.
GGUCCGAUGGUGUAGUUGGUUAUCACAUUCGCUUCACAUUCCAAUGAUUCGCGAGCGGUCCUCGGUUCGAUCCCGGGUCGGAUCA